RNAcentral lists this long non-coding RNA (473 nucleotides) under Elaeis guineensis (African oil palm). RNAcentral's name for it is "long non-coding RNA (EGUI_LNC057342)". The record is from RNAcentral. Lineage: Eukaryota; Viridiplantae; Streptophyta; Magnoliopsida; Arecales; Arecaceae.
CUAGAUAGUAUCUCGAUUAGUGUAAAAAUUGAUUUCUAUACUACCAGCUUAGUGUUUGAACCUAUGGAGUCACGCACACAAGUCAAACAAAGUAGGAAGAAAUUGACGUAUGUUUAUAUGUCAAAUUUGAAAGUACUUGACUUGAUUGAAUAUAUAAGCUAACUUGAAUGAGAAUUAAGUUAUAGAUAAAAUAGGAUUGAAGAGUUGACUAUGUCUAGCUAGCACUACACAUGAGUUUCAAAUUCGAUCCCAGAGAUGAACAGUUUUUGAUCUAUGAUCCAUAGAGCAUAUGAAAGAUUAAAUUUAAGUGCUGAUUAGUUUCAAAUUAGAUGUGAAUUAAUUAAUUUUAAUUGGGUCUAAAAUUCAAAUGAGACUUGGUACAAAAGUUUUAAAAAGUUUGGAAUUGACAGCCUUUUGAAAUUAUUUCGAACCAGCUUUGAAUUGGAUUCGAAUCGGAUCCAUUUUGAUGAGGU